RNAcentral lists this ribosomal RNA (450 nucleotides) under Triticum aestivum (bread wheat). Its description in RNAcentral is "partial small subunit ribosomal RNA". Lineage: Eukaryota; Viridiplantae; Streptophyta; Magnoliopsida; Poales; Poaceae. The record is from RNAcentral.
AUGUCUCCAGCCGCCGCCGCACCCCAAUCCCCGAUCGUCGUGUCUCCUGGCGAUGACCCCCUCCUCACUCCCUCUUUGUUCUCAUCCUCAAGGCGUCAUCGUCGGCUCCCCUCCUCCGUGAUUCGGCCAUGGCUGCCACUGACGCCCUCCUCUCCAUCGCCACCGGCCAGCCCUCACCUCCACGUCACCGUCUCUCAACCUCCAUCGAUCUCCUGGAUGGAUCUGUCGAUGUUACUAGAUCGACGGAGGGGGGCCUCCACCAUCGCCGUUCUUCUCCCUCCCCAAUCUCCCAUUGUUGUGCUCCUCGGAUCCGGCCAUGGCCAGAACCGACACUGCAUUCCCGGCCACCACCGACAACACCAGCGAGGUGGCCACGGUGGUCGAUACCGGAUCCAUGGAGGAGCUCACCCCGACCUUCUCCUCGUUUCCCCCCAUGGCUGGGUCUCCUGA